Molecule: unclassified non-coding RNA, 202 nt
Filed under: Hevea brasiliensis (rubber tree)
Lineage: Eukaryota; Viridiplantae; Streptophyta; Magnoliopsida; Malpighiales; Euphorbiaceae
Source: RNAcentral
UUCUCUUCCUUAUUGUGCACUCCAUUGAUAAGCUGGGAAUAUGGCCAAAGCUACCUGUGUUCUUAGGCCUGUUUUAUCUGGGUAUCCGCCGCCACCUUCACCAGGAGUACAACUUAUUGAACGUUGGGAAAACUCCCACCGGCGUUCGCUUUAAUCCCGUCGAUUAUCCUUACAGGACAGCCGACGGAACAUUCAAUGAUCC